This 107-nucleotide ribosomal RNA is filed under the name Lepisosteus oculatus (spotted gar). Lineage: Eukaryota; Metazoa; Chordata; Actinopteri; Semionotiformes; Lepisosteidae. The record is from RNAcentral.
ACCAGGAGCCAUAUCACCCUGCAACUCAUAACUGAAGCUCAGCAGGUGUGAGCCUGGCCAGUACCUGGAUGAGAGACCUCCUGGGAAAGCUAAGGUUGCUGCUGGAA